This 253-nucleotide ribosomal RNA is filed under the name uncultured bacterium. RNAcentral's name for it is "partial 16S ribosomal RNA". It matches the Rfam family "Bacterial small subunit ribosomal RNA", at positions 524 to 776 of the family's 1533-position model. The record is from RNAcentral.
UACGUAGGGGCCGAGCGUUGUCCGGAGUUAUUGGGCGUAAAGCGCGCGCAGGCGGCCUCGCGCGCCCGACGUGAAAGCCCCCGGCUUAACCGGGGAGGGUCGUUGGGGACGGCGGGGCUUGAGUACAGAUGAAGUAGGCGGAAUUGACGGUGUAGCGGUGAAAUGCAUAGAUAUCGUCAAGAACACCGAUAGCGAAGGCAGCUUACUAAGCUGUAACUGACGCUGAGGCACGAAAGUGUGGGGAUCAAACAGG